RNAcentral lists this long non-coding RNA (862 nucleotides) under Trifolium pratense (red clover). Its description in RNAcentral is "long non-coding RNA (TPRA_LNC005619)". Lineage: Eukaryota; Viridiplantae; Streptophyta; Magnoliopsida; Fabales; Fabaceae. The record is from RNAcentral.
ACAACACAAGUGACUUUGACACUACACUUUCACCCAAAAUCUUAAGGCGUUAGGUUUACGGGUCAUCUCAUUUAUACAAUGCUCAACAUUAACUCUCCCAACCAAUAUGAGACAUAACUUACACUUAAUAGAUCUCAACAAUAUGUCUCACAAAUUUCCUGAUCGCAAUUCGUCAUUGCUAAACAACCGUAGAAACUUUGUACUAUAACUCUAUAAGUGAUUGUCAUUUUCACCUCAGCAUAUUCAAAGCAAGAGUAACACAAUUCACAUCAGAUGUCAAUUUCGUGCAAAAGGAAAGAAGUAUAAGCGAAGCAGAAAAAAGCAGAGAGAUGAAUUGAAUGCUUGUGUAUAUUUGAUUAGCUUCCAAAGUAAUACGGCUAGGUAUCUUUGUAGGACAUUAACCAUUCCCCCCCAGAAACUUACAGUAUUAUAUGGGCCCAAUUUAUCACCAUAUUGGUGAGACAUAUAAAUUAGGUCAUGUGCAUGGUUCAAUAGAUGCUACUACUCAUUUAUUUGAGAAACCACCAAACAAAAACCUUAGAAAAUGCGACAGCAACUGCGACAGUAACAUUAAUGUUUUUUGUGUCGUAAGCACCUAAUUAAAGUUACGUUAUGUGGUUAAUGAACUUUAGUUAAAGAUAGAUAGUUAGACAGAGUCGGAGUUUGAAUUCGAACCGAAACAAUUAUUGAUAAAACUUUAUUUAACUUGAGAAAGGGAGGAUUAAUAAGAAGGGCAAUUAUUGAUAAAACUUUAUUUAACUUGAGAAAGGGAGGAUUAAUAAGAAGGGAAAAAAGUUUUGGAAGUUUUUGUUAAGAAGUCUCACAUCGGUUGUAAGAUGACCUGAAUAUAUAUUUAUAAAGU